Molecule: ribosomal RNA, 431 nt
Filed under: uncultured bacterium
Lineage: Bacteria
Description: partial 16S ribosomal RNA
Rfam family: Bacterial small subunit ribosomal RNA
Source: RNAcentral
CCUACGGGGGGCAGCAGUGGGGAAUAUUGGACAAUGGGCGCAAGCCUGAUCCAGCAAUGCCGCGUGGGUGAAGAAGGUCUUCGGAUUGUAAAGCCCUUUCGACGGGGAGGCGGUACCCGUAGAAGAAGCCCCGGCUAACUUCGUGCCAGCAGCCGCGGUAAUACGAAGGGGGCUAGCGUUGCUCGGAAUGACUGGGCGUAAAGGGCGCGUAGGCGGCGUUCAUAGUCAGGCGUGAAAUUCCUGGGCUCAACCUGGGGACUGCGCUUGAUACGUGAAUGCUUGAGUCUGGAAGAGGGUCGUGGAAUUCCCAGUGUAGAGGUGAAAUUCGUAGAUAUUGGGAAGAACACCGGUGGCGAAGGCGGCGACCUGGUCGGACUGACGCUGAGGCGCGAAAGCGUGGGGAGCAAACAGGAUUAGAUACCCUUGUAGUC